RNAcentral lists this unclassified non-coding RNA (322 nucleotides) under soil metagenome. RNAcentral's name for it is "partial contains 5.8S ribosomal RNA, internal transcribed spacer 2, and large subunit ribosomal RNA". The stretch from base 1 to 120 matches the Rfam family "5.8S ribosomal RNA", at positions 35 to 154 of the family's 154-position model. The record is from RNAcentral.
GAUGAAGAACGGAGCGAAAUGCGAUAAGUAAUGUGAAUUGCAGAAUUCAGUGAAUCAUCGAAUCUUUGAACGCACAUUGCGCCCUUUGGCAUUCCGAAGGGCACACCUGUCCGAGCGCCGUCGCACAACUGAGGCGCAGCCUUGCGUUGGCGGGCGACUUGUGAGUAGCGAGUCGCCGCCCAAACGAGACGGCGCCGCGCCGCGGCCGACGAAGCACGAAAGCGGAAGUCGACGCGGAGGCGGUUGCCUGUAGGAAGACACAGCUUGGCCUCGGAUCAGGUGGGGAUACCCGCUGAACUUAAGCAUAUCAAUAAGCGGAGGA